RNAcentral lists this ribosomal RNA (229 nucleotides) under uncultured bacterium. RNAcentral describes it as "partial 16S ribosomal RNA". It matches the Rfam family "Bacterial small subunit ribosomal RNA", at positions 568 to 796 of the family's 1533-position model. The record is from RNAcentral.
UGCGUAGGCGGCGUCAUAAGUCAGGGGUGAAAGCCCACAGCUCAACUGUGGUAUUGCCUUUGAUACUGUGGUGCUUGAAUCAGGUUGAGGUAGGCGGAAUGUGGCAUGUAGCGGUGAAAUGCUUAGAUAUGCCAUAGAACACCGAUUGCGAAGGCAGCUUACUGGACCUGCAUUGACGCUGAGGCAAGAAAGCGUGGGGAGCGAACAGGAUUAGAUACCCUGGUAGUCC